This is a long non-coding RNA of Solea senegalensis (Senegalese sole), 304 nucleotides long. RefSeq lists it as uncharacterized. The transcript is spliced from 2 exons. The record is from RefSeq and is a predicted model, not a curated record. NCBI's taxonomy places the organism in Eukaryota, Metazoa, Chordata, Actinopteri, Pleuronectiformes, Soleidae.
GUGUGGAAAACACACUGUCUUUAUUCAACCGUCUCUGUCGUGUCACUGCUGCUGAUGCACGUUCGCUCAAUACUUCAGCAGUCGAUUGCUUUUCAUUCGUUUGUGGCUUCGUUUCAUUUGAUUUGUUUGUUUAUAUGUUGGUGAAGAUGAGAAGCUGCACAUAAACAAACACCAUGAGAUCAUCUUUUACCAGACUGCUGCCUCUGCCAAAUCCCUCGUUACUAUGGCAACUCCCUGGGGAAAACACUGUGAAGUGUGUGUGUACAUUUGAUUAAAUGCCGCUUCAGUCAACAGUGGACAGACA